RNAcentral lists this ribosomal RNA (388 nucleotides) under Tetragonopterus chalceus. Its description in RNAcentral is "partial 12S ribosomal RNA". The stretch from base 46 to 388 matches the Rfam family "Bacterial small subunit ribosomal RNA", at positions 875 to 1384 of the family's 1533-position model. Lineage: Eukaryota; Metazoa; Chordata; Actinopteri; Characiformes; Characidae. The record is from RNAcentral.
GCUUAGCCCUGAAAUCUAGAUGUAACUCUUACAAACACAUCCGCCAGGUACUACAAGCGCUAGCUUAAAACCCAAAGGACUUGACGGUGUCUCAGACCCACCUAGAGGAGCCUGUUCUAGAACCGAUAAUCCCCGUUUAACCUCACCACCCCUUGCUUUCCCCGCCUAUAUACCGCCGUCGCAAGCUUACCCUGUGAAGGUUUUACAGUAAGCAAAAUGGAUAUAUUCAAAAACGUCAGGUCGAGGUGUAGCUUACGAGGUGGAAAGAAAUGGGCUACAUUUUCUUUAUCAGAAUAACACGAAUGGCACCAUGAAACUGAUGCCUGAAGGUGGAUUUAGCAGUAAAAAACAAAUAGAGAGUCUUUUUGAAUUAGGCUCUGAGACGCGC